RNAcentral lists this long non-coding RNA (766 nucleotides) under Capsicum annuum. RNAcentral's name for it is "long non-coding RNA (CANN_LNC006693)". The record is from RNAcentral. Lineage: Eukaryota; Viridiplantae; Streptophyta; Magnoliopsida; Solanales; Solanaceae.
ACACUUAAUGAACUCUACACUUAGUGUUACUCAGCUGGUAUGAAAUUAAUAAGAGUGUAUCUUAUUAUUCUGUGUAUUAAUAAUGCUACAUUACGAUCUUUGGAAAUUUAAAUUAAAGACUAUGUUUUCUUAAUGAAUGAUCAUAUAAAAAUGAAAAAUCAAAGGAAAAGGAAUUUGUGUAUUGCAUAUUUUUUUAUUUUGAAAUUUCCAUGGAAUAAUACAACACAUUUUCCAACUCACAAUUCAUUAUAUUUCUUGACUUAAUUUCCUCCACACUUACGUUUUUAGAGGUCGAUUCAAUCUAUAAAAAUGAAAUAAAGAUAUAUGAUGAAUCUUCACGUUACAUGUAUGAAAUGAUUUGAACGGUAUAACAUGUCCUGUAAUAAUUGAUCUACAUAGCCGAUCCAAAUUUUGUGAGAUUGAGGCAUAAUCUUUGUUGGAUCCAAUACUACUUAGUAUCAUGAGACAAACAGACAAGGCUUUCAAUAUCCUAUUUGAGGGUAAAAUCCUCAUUAUCAAAGACGACUCCUAUAAGAAAUGUGAUUUCAUCAAUCCAUGUUGAACUGUUUGGAUUUGGCAAGAUCAUAUCAUUUGCAUAUUAUAGAUCUUGCUUCUCAUCCACAACACGAGCACUCACCGUGCAUUCAAUCAUUAUUAAACUGAUUUUUCGGGGAUUGACACUAUCCCAGCCUCGUCAUAUGCCUUUCCCCCCUAUAGCUCCAAUUUUGUGCAUUUUAAUUACCUUUCAUCGAGAGCAUCUAUAGAG